CCUACGGGUGGCUGCAGUGGGGGAUAUUGGACAAUGGGGGCAACCCUGAUCCAGCGACGCCGCGUGAGUGAAGAAGUCUUUCGGUUUGUAAAGCUCUAUCAGCAGGGAAGAAAGAAAUGAAGGUACCUGAGUAAGACGCUCAGGCUAACUGCGUGCCAGCCGCCGCGGUAAUACGUAGGGGGCAAGCGUUAUACGGAAUUACUGGGUGUAAAGAGAGCGUAGACGGUAAUGCAAGUCUGAAGUGAAAGGCGGGGGCCCAACCCGCGGACUGCCCUGGAAACUGUGUAACUGGAGUGCAGGAGAGGCAGGUGGAAUUCCAGGUGUAGCGGUGAAAUGCGUAGAUAUUAGGAGGAAUACCAGUGGCGAAGGCGGCCUGCUGGACGAUAACUGACGUUGAGGCGCGAAAGCGUGGGGAGCAAACAGGAUUAGAUACCCUAGUAGUC
This 443-nucleotide ribosomal RNA is filed under the name uncultured bacterium. RNAcentral's name for it is "partial 16S ribosomal RNA". It matches the Rfam family "Bacterial small subunit ribosomal RNA", at positions 338 to 795 of the family's 1533-position model. The record is from RNAcentral.